AGGACGAACGCUGGCGGCGCGCUUAACGACAUGCAAGUCGAACGUGAAGCUGGAGCUUGCUCCGGUGGAAAGUGGCGAACGGGUGCGUAACACGUGAGCAACCUGCCCCGAAGACUGGGAUAACACCGGGAAACCGGUGCUAAUACCGGAUACCUUCUUCCGAUCGCAUGGUUGGAUGAAGAAAUGGAUUCCGCUUCGGGAUGGGCUCGCGGCCUAUCAGCUUGUUGGUGAGGUAACGGCUCACCAAGGCGACGACGGGUAGCCGGCCUGAGAGGGCGACCGGCCACACUGGGACUGAGACACGGCCCAGACUCCUACGGGAGGCAGCAGUGGGGAAUAUUGCGCAAUGGGCGAAAGCCUGACGCAGCGACGCCGCGUGGGGGAUGAAGGCCUUCGGGUUGUAAACCCCUUUCAGCAGGGACGAAGCGAAAGUGACGGUACCUGCAGAAGAAGCGCCGGCUAACUACGUGCCAGCAGCCGCGGUAA
RNAcentral lists this ribosomal RNA (486 nucleotides) under uncultured bacterium. RNAcentral's name for it is "SSU rRNA". It matches the Rfam family "Bacterial small subunit ribosomal RNA", at positions 26 to 523 of the family's 1533-position model. The record is from RNAcentral.